RNAcentral lists this ribosomal RNA (739 nucleotides) under uncultured Corynebacterium sp. RNAcentral's name for it is "bacterial SSU rRNA". It matches the Rfam family "Bacterial small subunit ribosomal RNA", at positions 28 to 776 of the family's 1533-position model. Lineage: Bacteria; Bacillati; Actinomycetota; Actinomycetes; Mycobacteriales; Corynebacteriaceae. The record is from RNAcentral.
GACGAACGCUGGCGGCGUGCUUAACACAUGCAAGUCGAACGGAAAGGCCCUGCUUGCAGGGUGCUCGAGUGGCGAACGGGUGAGUAACACGUGGGUGAUCUGCCCCUUACUUUGGGAUAAGCCUGGGAAACUGGGUCUAAUACUGGAUAGGACCAUGCUGUAGGUGGUGUGGUGGAAAGAUUAGUUUCGGUAAGGGAUGAGCUCGCGGCCUAUCAGCUUGUUGGUGGGGUAAUGGCCUACCAAGGCGUCGACGGGUAGCCGGCCUGAGAGGGUGGACGGCCACAUUGGGACUGAGAUACGGCCCAGACUCCUACGGGAGGCAGCAGUGGGGAAUAUUGCACAAUGGGCGCAAGCCUGAUGCAGCGACGCCGCGUGGGGGAUGACGGCCUUCGGGUUGUAAACUCCUUUCAGCCAUGACGAAGCCCUUGUGGUGGCGGUAGUGGUAGAAGAAGCACCGGCUAACUACGUGCCAGCAGCCGCGGUAAUACGUAGGGUGCGAGCGUUGUCCGGAAUUACUGGGCGUAAAGAGCUCGUAGGUGGUCUGUCGCGUCAUUUGUGAAAGCCCGGGGCUUAACUCCGGGUUGGCAGGUGAUACGGGCAUGACUGGAGUACUGUAGGGGAGACUGGAAUUCCUGGUGUAGCGGUGAAAUGCGCAGAUAUCAGGAGGAACACCGGUGGCGAAGGCGGGUCUCUGGGCAGUAACUGACGCUGAGGAGCGAAAGCAUGGGUAGCGAACAGG